This 235-nucleotide long non-coding RNA is filed under the name Vitis vinifera (wine grape). Its description in RNAcentral is "long non-coding RNA (VVIN_LNC003352)". The record is from RNAcentral. Lineage: Eukaryota; Viridiplantae; Streptophyta; Magnoliopsida; Vitales; Vitaceae.
UUUAAACGGUUAUUUUAGGUUGUACUUUUUCUUUAAAAGGAAAUAGAACUUGUUAUCUCCAUUCUGUUUCUGAUUGUUAGCUCCCUUUUCUUCUUUCUUUUCAUCUCUCUUACACUUGAACCACUUGAACCAUGCACUGCAUCUAUUAUCACCCUGUUUUCGAUGAUGUUCUCACCAUUGACCUUAGAUGUUUUUAAGAAGUUGAUAUUGCAAACAUGGGUUUGAAACUCUUGGC